RNAcentral lists this ribosomal RNA (437 nucleotides) under uncultured bacterium. RNAcentral describes it as "partial 16S ribosomal RNA". It matches the Rfam family "Bacterial small subunit ribosomal RNA", at positions 28 to 448 of the family's 1533-position model. The record is from RNAcentral.
GAUGAACGCUGGCGGCGUGYUUAACACAUGCAAGUCGAACGGGGAACAAUUUAAAGAAGCUUCGGCAGAUUUAGCUUGUUCCUAGUGGCGGACGGGUGAGUAAYGCGUGGGUAACCUSCCUCACACUGGGGGAUAACAGUCAGAAAUGACUGCUAAUWCCGCAUAAGCGCACAGAGCCGCAUGGUUCAGUGUGAAAAACUCCGGUGGUGUGAGAUGGACCCGCGUUGGAUUAGCCAKUUGGCAGGGUAACGGCCUACCAAAGCGACGAUCCAUAGCCGGCCUGAGAGGGUGGACGGCCACAUUGGGACUGAGACACGGCCCAGACUCCUACGGGAGGCAGCAGUGGGGAAUAUUGCACAAUGGGGGGAACCSUGAKGCAGCGACGCCGSGUGAAGGAAGAAGUAUCUCGGUAKGUAAACUUCUAUCAGCAGGGAAGA